This 312-nucleotide long non-coding RNA is filed under the name Homo sapiens (human). Its description in RNAcentral is "HSALNT0106435". The record is from RNAcentral. Lineage: Eukaryota; Metazoa; Chordata; Mammalia; Primates; Hominidae.
CACUGAGGUCUGGUGACUCACCCAGGGUCAUGCAGCCUGUGAGUGGCAGAGUGAGCCGGGAACCUGGCUGCUGGCUGAGAAAUUUCAGGGCUUCUUCUUUGAGUGCCCAGCAGGAUUGCAGCACCACAUGGCUCUGGGGCUCUCCCACUGGCCAGUCUGGGCUGAAGGGAAUGAAGUGAAGAGAGGGAGUUUCCCCUAAAGAUCUGACAAAUGCCAAGGACUUUGCCUACGCUGGAUGUGUAGCCGAAGACUGUCCCAGGCUGCUCAGAGGGGCGGAAGCAAACUCGCUGCAUCUCCAGAAGCCCCUCAGAG